GACGCCAGUCUGCAUGGAGCCGACCUUGAAAUACCACCCUUUAAUGUUUGAUGUUCUAACGUUGACCCGUGAUCCGGGUUGCGGACAGUGUCUGGUGGGUAGUUUGACUGGGGCGGUCUCCUCCUAAAGAGUAACGGAGGAGCACGAAGGUUGGCUAAUCCUGGUCGGACAUCAGGAGGUUAGUGCAAUGGCAUAAGCCAGCUUGACUGCGAGCGUGACGGCGCGAGCAGGUGCGAAAGCAGGUCAUAGUGAUCCGGUGGUUCUGAAUGGAAGGGCCAUCGCUCAACGGAUAAAAGGUACUCCGGGGAUAACAGGCUGAUACCGCCCAAGAGUUCAUAUCGACGGCGGUGUUUGGCACCUCGAUGUCGGCUCAUCACAUCCUGGGGCUGAAGUAGGUCCCAAGGGUAUGGCUGUUCGCCAUUUAAAGUGGUACGCGAGCUGGGUUUAGAACGUCGUGAGACAGUUCGGUCCCUAUCUGCCGUGGGCGCUGGAGAACUGAGGGGGGCUGCUCCUAGUACGAGAGGACCGGAGUGGACGCAUCACUGGUGUUCGGGUUGUCAUGCCAAUGGCACUGCCCGGUAGCUAAAUGCGGAAGAG
RNAcentral lists this ribosomal RNA (597 nucleotides) under Escherichia coli. Its description in RNAcentral is "bacterial LSU rRNA". It matches the Rfam family "Bacterial large subunit ribosomal RNA", at positions 2167 to 2763 of the family's 2925-position model. The record is from RNAcentral. Lineage: Bacteria; Pseudomonadati; Pseudomonadota; Gammaproteobacteria; Enterobacterales; Enterobacteriaceae.